RNAcentral lists this long non-coding RNA (4831 nucleotides) under Homo sapiens (human). Its description in RNAcentral is "non-protein coding lnc-GPT2-1:9". Lineage: Eukaryota; Metazoa; Chordata; Mammalia; Primates; Hominidae. The record is from RNAcentral.
ACUGGGGUCGAAGUAUUGAAGAGUGGGCCAGGUUCUCUGUUUUCCUCCAGGUCCAGGCGGCUGGGCAGGGCCAACGUAGGAAAUGAAGAACUGUGCACGGCGCACCCCAGGAAUUCAGCUUCCUCUCAAAAGCCAUGGUUGCGAGGUCGCGUGUUUAACCUCGCACUGGCUGCUGAGGGAAUUAACAGGCCUGCGCAGCAGCUUCGUUAGCUUCGAAAGAAAAUGGGCCCCGGCUCCCGCAGGAGGCCCGCCUGGCGCGCAGAUGUCGUUAUUAGAAUCCGGGACGUCGGUGGACCCUCUGGGUCUGGCUCCCUCGGGGCUUACGAUGAAAAAAACUGGGGGGCGCGUGUGUGUGUCAUGAGACUUCCAUUUCUGAAGGGGUCCUGUUCCAUAUCCUCAAGAAGGGAGUGCUGCACAGAGAGGCCAUGAGGAAUCUAAGCAGACAGGCCUUGCUGGGUUUCCCCACUCAGUCUGUUAAUAUUAGAUCAUACCUUUUUGUCCAGUCACAUUUUUACAUGGUUGUCAAUUAUGCCUGUCCAGUAAAGUCUCCAUAAAAGGCCCAAGAAGACAGAGUUGGAGUUCCUGGAUAGCUGAACAUGUGGAGGUUCCUGGAGGGUGGGGCACCUGGGCAUAAAAGCUCUGAGCCCCUUCCCUCAUACCUUGCUCUGUGCAUCCCUCCAUCUGUAUCCUUUGUAACAUUCCUUAUAAUAAAUUGGUAAAUGUGUUUCCCAGAGUCCUGUGAGCCACUGUAGCAAAAUUAAUCAAACCCAAGGAAGGGUUCAUGGGAACCCUAAUUUCUAUUCAGCUGGUCAGAGACACAGGUGAAACAACCUGGGGCUUGCUAUUGGUAUCAGAAGUGAGGCGACUGAGCCCUCAACCUGUGGGAUCUGAUGCUACCAAGUAGAUAGUGUCAGAAUUGAGUUGGAGGUCACCUACCUGGUGUCUACUGUAUAAUUGAUUGCUUGCUUGUUGGUGGGGAGAAAUCCCCACAUAUUUGGUCACAGAAGUCUUCUGUGUUAAUUGAGUGCGAGAAUCUGAAUCUGAGUUUUUUUCACUUAUCUAUAGAUUCAUUCAUUCAACAAAUAUGUGUUGUGGACCCUCCUAUGUGGCAGGCACUGUUUGGUAGGAUAGGGGACAGCCAUAAACGAAACAAAAUCGCUGCCUUUACAGAAUGUACAUCUAGUGGGGAAGGCAGGCAGUAAAUAAGUAAAUACAUAGCAUAUCAGAUGGUAUUAUGUGCUGUAGAGAAAACGAGAGUAUUGGGGUUGGGAACAAUUUUUAUUUAAGGUGUUUGAGGAAGGUGACAUUUGAACAGUGAUCUAGAGGAAGCAGGGCCUUGAGGAUAUGUGAGAAAACAAUUGCUGAGGCAGUGGGCCUGCAAAGGCCCUAAGGCAGAGCAUGCCUGGUUUGUUAGAGGAAGGAGGCCAGUAUGACUGGGUAGCAGCAAGGUAGGGAGAUCUUGGAAAGAGCUCACAUCAGAGAGGUUGUCGGGGACUCAAUCAGGUCCACUAUAAAGACUUUGAUGUUUACUCUGAGUGAGCUGGGAAGCUGUUAAAGGGUUUUGGUUUUUUUGUUUUUUGUUUUUUUUUUUUUGAGAUAGAGUCUUGCUCUGUCACCCAGACUGAAGUGCAAUGGCGCCAUCUCCACUCAUUGCACCCUCCACUUCCUGGGCUCAAGUGAUUCUCCAGCCUCAGCCUCUUGAGUAGCUGGGACUAUAGGCAUGUACCACCAAUGCCUGGCUAAUUUUUAUAUUUUUUGUAGAGACAGGGUUUUGCCGUGUUGCCCAGGCUGGUCUCGAAACUCCUAAGCUCAAAGUGAUCCGCCUGCUUCAGCCCCACAAAAUGCUGGGAUUACAUGUGUUAGCCACCACUCCUGGCUAUGCUAUUAAAGGAUUUUGAUUAGAGGAGAGACAUAAGUGCAUUUUAAACACAUCAUUCUGUUAGCUGUGUUGAGAACCUAUUGUAAUAAAACCUAGGUGAGAGGUGACUUGGGCCAAGAUAGAAGAUGUUGAGUUGGUGAGGAAUCGGCUUCUGGAUAUAUUUUCACCUUUGAACUGAUAGAAUUAGAUGUUGGGCAGAAAUGAGGGCAGGGUGAAAAUAAAAGUUCAUGUUAAUUUAUUAACAUUCAAGGAAAUAUUUUUUAAAUUAAAUUUAUUUUUGAGACAAGGUCUCACUGUAUCACUCAGGCUGGAGUACAGUGGCAAGAUCAAAGCUCACUGCAGCCUCAAACUCCUUAGCUCAAGCAGUCCUCCCACCUCAACCUCCUGAGUUGUGUGCCAACUCACACUUGGCUAAUAUUUUUAUUUUUUGUAGAGACAGGGUCUUGCUCUGUUGCCCAGGCUGGUCUCAAACUCGUACGGUUUUUUGUUUUGUUUUUUUUUUUUUUAUGAGACAGAGUUUCGCUCUUGUCGCCCAUGCUGGAGUGGAAUGGUGUGGUCUCGGCUCACUGCAACCUCCACCUCCCGGGCUCAAGCGAUUCUCCUGCCUCAGCCUCCCAAGUAGUGGGGAUUACAGGCACCUGCCACCAUGCCUGGCUGAUUUUUGUAAUUUUUUAGUAGAGAUGGGGUUUCACCAUGUUGGCCAGGCUGGUCUUGAACUCCAGACCUCAGGUGAUUUGCCCACUUCGGCCUCCCAAAGUGCUGGGAUACAGGUGUGAGCCACUGUGCCCGGUCCAAUGUUUUAAUGUAUGUAUAAUAUACAUUGUGGAAUGAUUAUACCAAACUGACAUAUCCAUCACCUUACAUACUUAUUUUUUUUGUAGUGAGAACAUUUAAAAUCUGUUCUUUUAGCAAUUUUAAAAUAUACAAUACAUUAUUGUUGACUACGGUUACCAUGUUGUGCAACAGAUCUUAAAACAUUAUCUUCCUGUCAAACUGAAAGUGUACACUUUGGUCAACAUCUCCUCAUUCCUCCUCUCCUCACAGCCUCUGAUAACCACAACUAUACUUCCAUAAGAUUUUUAGAUCCCAUAUGUAAGCAAGAUCAUGUGGUAUUUGUCUUUCUGUGCCUGGCUUAUUUCACUUAGCAUAAUGUUCUCCAGGUUCAAUUCUUUUGUUACAAAUGACCAAAUUUCCCUCUUUUUUGUCCGGGUGUGGUGGCUCACGCCUGUAAUCCCAGCACUUUGGGAGGCCAAGGAGGCUGAUCACCUGAGGUCAGGAGUUCAAGACCAGCCUGGCCAACACAGUGAAACCCCAUCUCUACUAAAAAUAAAAAAAUUAGGCCGGGUGUAGUGGCUCAGGCUUCUAAACCCAGCACUUUGGGAGGCCGAGGCAUGUGGAUCACCUGAAGUCAGGAGUUUGUGUCCAGCCUGGCCAACACGGUGAAACCUUGUCUCUACUAAAAAUACAAAAAUUAGCUGGGCAUGGUGGCACACUUCUGUAAUCCCAGCUACUCGGGGGGCUGAGGCAGGAGAAUCGCUUGAACCUGGCAGAGGUUGCAGUGAGCCGAGAUUGCGCCACUGCACUCCAGUCUGGGUGACAGAGCAAGACUCCAUCUCAGGAAAAACAAAACAAAACAAAAAAAUUAUCCGGUUGUGGUGGCAUGUGCCUGUAAACCCAGCUACUUGGUAGGCUGAGGCAGGAGAAUCGCUUGACCCUGGGAGACAGAGGUUGCAGUGAGCUGUGAUUGCAUCACUGCGCUCCAGCCUGGGCAACAGAGCAAGACUCCAUCUCAAAAACAAGGCAGAAUUUCCCUCUUAUUAAUAACUGAAUAGUAUUCCAGUGUGUGUGUGUGUGUGUGUGUGUGUGUGUGUGUGUGUGUAUCACAUUUUCUUUUCCAUUCAUCCAUUGAUGGACACUUAGGUUGGUUCCAUGUCUUGGCUAUUCUGAAUAAUGCUUCAGUGAACAUAGGAGUGCAGACAUCUCAUUGACAUACUGAUUUCAGUUCUUUUGGAUAUACACCCAGAAGUGGGAUUACUGGGUCUUAUGGUAGUUCUGUUUUUAGUUUUUUGAGGAACAUCCAUGCUGUUCUCCAUAGUGGCUGUACUAAUUUACAUUCCUACCAACAGUGUGCAAGGGUUUGCUUUUGUCCACAUCCUUGCCAACUCGUUAUUGGAUAAAUAUUAAGCAGUUUGAUUUUUUUUUUCCAUUGCCCUGGCUGGAGUACAAUGGUGCAAUCAUAGCUCACCGCAGCCUCAAACUCCUGGGCUCAAGCAGUCCUCCUACCUCGGCCUCCCAAAGUGUUGGGAUUACAGCCACUGCACUCAGCCAAGCAGCUGGGCUUGUAAGAAUAGAGUUGAAAGGGGCAGGUGUUCAAACUGGAGAUGUAAAUUUGGGAAUCCCCUCAACAUAUUGCCAGUGUAUAAAGAAGUAAGACCUAGGACAGUUCACUGACUGCUCAUCAGAACCCCUAGGGGAACUUUUAAAAAUGCUAUUUUCUGGGUCUGUCCUCCCAGAAAUCGUGACCGAAUUGAUCUGAGGUAAGGUGAGGGCAUUGUAUUUUUUUAAAUAGUCUAAGGUUAUCCUAUAUUUGAACAUUUUUGAAAAAAAAUUUUGCACAUGAAGAACACAUGAUGUUGUUCUGACAUACAGUCUUUAAAAUAUUUAUUUUUUUUUUGAGACGGAGUUUCGCUCUUGCUCAGGCUGGAGUGCAAUGGUACGAUCUCGGCUCACUGCAACCUCUGCCUCCCAGGUUCAAGCAGUUCUCCUGCCUCAGUCUCCCGAGUAGCUGGGAUUACAGGCAUGUGCCACCACGCCCUACUAAUUUUGUGUUUUUAGUAGAGAUGGGGUUUCUCCAUGUUGGUCAUGCUGGUCUCAAACUCCUGACCUCAGGUGAUCCACCCGCCUCGGCCUCCCAAAGUGCUGGGAUUACAGGUGUGAGCCACCGUGCCCUGC